Molecule: ribosomal RNA, 460 nt
Filed under: Salmonella enterica
Lineage: Bacteria; Pseudomonadati; Pseudomonadota; Gammaproteobacteria; Enterobacterales; Enterobacteriaceae
Description: partial 23S ribosomal RNA
Rfam family: Bacterial large subunit ribosomal RNA
Source: RNAcentral
AGCUUGACUGCGAGCGUGACGGCGCGAGCAGGUGCGAAAGCAGGUCAUAGUGAUCCGGUGGUUCUGAAUGGAAGGGCCAUCGCUCAACGGAUAAAAGGUACUCCGGGGAUAACAGGCUGAUACCGCCCAAGAGUUCAUAUCGACGGCGGUGUUUGGCACCUCGAUGUCGGCUCAUCACAUCCUGGGGCUGAAGUAGGUCCCAAGGGUAUGGCUGUUCGCCAUUUAAAGUGGUACGCGAGCUGGGUUUAGAACGUCGUGAGACAGUUCGGUCCCUAUCUGCCGUGGGCGCUGGAGAACUGAGGGGGGCUGCUCCUAGUACGAGAGGACCGGAGUGGACGCAUCACUGGUGUUCGGGUUGUCAUGCCAAUGGCACUGCCCGGUAGCUAAAUGCGGAAGAGAUAAGUGCUGAAAGCAUCUAAGCACGAAACUUGCCCCGAGAUGAGUUCUCCCUGAGACUUAG